RNAcentral lists this ribosomal RNA (497 nucleotides) under uncultured bacterium. Its description in RNAcentral is "partial 16S ribosomal RNA". It matches the Rfam family "Bacterial small subunit ribosomal RNA", at positions 28 to 507 of the family's 1533-position model. The record is from RNAcentral.
GAUGAACGCUGGCGGCGUGCCUAAUACAUGCAAGUCGAACGAACGGACGCGAAUCUUGCUGCGCUGAUGUUGGCGACGGGCGGGUGAGUCGCGCGUAGAUAACCUACAUCUAAGACUGAAAUAACGUCGAGAAAGCGGAACUACUACCGGGUACUAUUAUGACCCGGAGGGUUCAAGAGUGAAAGACGGGCUUGCGGUCGAUUCUAGAUGGAUCCGCGCUGCAUUAGCUAGUUGGUACGGUAACGGCUUAACAAGGAAGCGAUGCGUAGGCGAAAUGAGAGGGGGAUCGCCCACCCGGGAGCGGAGCCGCGGUCCAGGCUCCUACGGGAGGCAGCAGUCGGGAAUGGUCCGCAACGGGCGAAAGCCUUACGGAGCAACGGCGCGUGUGUUAUGGCGGCCCCGCGUGCGUAAAGCCCUGUUACUAGGUAUGAACAUAUGUCUAUGGAACUGUGCACAUCGUGACGGUACCUAAAGAGAAAGCCCCGGCUAACUACGUG